Molecule: transfer RNA, 97 nt
Filed under: Gymnopus androsaceus JB14
Lineage: Eukaryota; Fungi; Basidiomycota; Agaricomycetes; Agaricales; Omphalotaceae
Description: tRNA-Gly
Rfam family: tRNA
About the family: Transfer RNA (tRNA) molecules are approximately 80 nucleotides in length. Their secondary structure includes four short double-helical elements and three loops (D, anti-codon, and T loops).
Source: RNAcentral
GGUGCUGUGGGGUAACGGUUAACCUGAGGCUUCACCAUGAUCUCCGCGCAUAGCAUAUUCUGUAGCCUAGCUGCGAGUUCGAAUCUCGCCUGCGCCA